This 73-nucleotide transfer RNA is filed under the name Bacteroidia bacterium. Its description in RNAcentral is "tRNA-Arg". It matches the Rfam family "tRNA". Rfam says of the family: Transfer RNA (tRNA) molecules are approximately 80 nucleotides in length. Their secondary structure includes four short double-helical elements and three loops (D, anti-codon, and T loops). Further hydrogen bonds mediate the characteristic L-shaped molecular structure. tRNAs have two regions of fundamental functional importance: the anti-codon, which is responsible for specific mRNA codon recognition, and the 3' end, to which the tRNAs corresponding amino acid is attached (by aminoacyl-tRNA synthetases). tRNAs cope with the degeneracy of the genetic code in two manners: having more than one tRNA (with a specific anti-codon) for a particular amino acid; and 'wobble' base-pairing, i.e. permitting non-standard base-pairing at the 3rd anti-codon position. Lineage: Bacteria; Pseudomonadati; Bacteroidota; Bacteroidia. The record is from RNAcentral.
GGCUCCAUAGUUCAAGGGAUAGAACGAAAGUUUCCUAAACUUUAGAUUCCAGUUCGAGUCUGGGUGGGGCUAC